UGUAGAGUUUGAUCCUGGCUCAGAUUGAACGCUGGCGGCAGGCUUAACACAUGCAAGUCGAACGAGAAGCUACCUUCGGGUAGUGGAAAGUGGCAGACGGGUGAGUAACGCGUGGGAAUAUGCCCUUCUCUACGGAAUAGCCUCGGGAAACUGAGAGUAAUA
This 162-nucleotide ribosomal RNA is filed under the name Heterosigma akashiwo. RNAcentral's name for it is "partial Bacterial small subunit ribosomal RNA". It matches the Rfam family "Bacterial small subunit ribosomal RNA", at positions 1 to 168 of the family's 1533-position model. The record is from RNAcentral. Lineage: Eukaryota; Raphidophyceae; Chattonellales; Chattonellaceae.